RNAcentral lists this ribosomal RNA (482 nucleotides) under uncultured bacterium. RNAcentral's name for it is "bacterial SSU rRNA". It matches the Rfam family "Bacterial small subunit ribosomal RNA", at positions 30 to 507 of the family's 1533-position model. The record is from RNAcentral.
AUUGAACGCUGGCGGCAUGCCUUACACAUGCAAGUCGAACGGUAACGGGCCUUCGGGUGCCGACGAGUGGCGAACGGGUGAGUAAUGCAUCGGAACGUACCUUUCAGUGGGGGAUAACGUAGCGAAAGUUACGCUAAUACCGCAUAUUCUGUGAGCAGGAAAGCAGGGGAUCGCAAGACCUUGCGCUGAUUGAGCGGCCGAUGUCAGAUUAGCUAGUUGGUGAGGUAAAGGCUCACCAAGGCGACGAUCUGUAGCGGGUCUGAGAGGAUGAUCCGCCACACUGGGACUGAGACACGGCCCAGACUCCUACGGGAGGCAGCAGUGGGGAAUUUUGGACAAUGGGGGAAACCCUGAUCCAGCCAUGCCGCGUGCAGGAUGAAGGCCUUCGGGUUGUAAACUGCUUUUGUACGGAACGAAAAGGUCUUUUCUAAUAAAGAAGGCCCAUGACGGUACCGUAAGAAUAAGCACCGGCUAACUACGUG